AAAACUGCACUUUUUAAACCAACAGGGUUACAGUCUCCAAAGUAUUUCUGUAUCCCUUCCUGCACAAGCACAACCUUCUUUCUUCAGAAAAUAAUCAGAACUACCUGCCAAGCUAAGCUCUGUAACAACCUCAUGCGUGGUCAGGCUGGCCUGAGGGGCACGCAUCGCCUUUAGCUGCCGAGAUUCCCCAUGUCCCACAACAGUGUAGGAGCAAAAUGGGCAGCAAAAGGAUGUUAUUUCUAACCUGGACACAUUGCCUGGGUUCUUUUGAGGUGGAAGAAAGGGACGGUACUAUUUUCUUCAGGCUCAGAAGGAUGCAGGUGUAUCAGUACCAAACCUUUCUAUGACGAGUAUCUGUGAGACCAGCGAUACCCCUGGGAAAAAUUAUUUCUUAAAGCGGGGAGAUCAAAAUAUCUGAAUCUAGCCUGCAGUUUCAGAGACACUGCUUUACAAAUACACGUCUCACUUUUGGUAACUUACUCGAAAGGAAGUGAAAAUCGGGUCUUUCUUCCUGGAUCGCCGAGAUGCAGGAAGAAUUAGCUAUGCAUGCUACCCUGAAUGCUAAGAAAACAAAACAACACGGCUAGGAAACACUCGGUCUGAGAAACAAACCUACAGCCACGAACCCAAACGGCCUGUUUCCUCUUGACGUGUUGCAGAGGACCCUGAGUGACAGUAAGGACAGCACGAUUUGGCUGCAGACCAAAAUUAAAUAAUAUGCAGCAUAGAGAACAUUAUAUGAACAGCUAUAUGAAAGGGGCGCUUGCAGCCUGAAGUGCCGCAACAGGCAGGCUGCACCGACGUGCCGGGAGGGGAAGCGGCAGCGAAAUCCACCCUCUGAACACAAGAUGUGUGGUGCUCGGUGCCGGUGCGGAGGCUACCAGAACGCCAGAUGCAUUUGCGCUAGCAGCAACGCAAAGUUUCUCUCCCCAACUCAGUGGUUUUCUCAGUCUGCUUCUUCUUAAGAGAUGCUUUGAAAUCCGACUGCCCUUUGAAGUUUCUCAAGUACAGCAUGACAUUUAUUUAAGGCAGGUUCCUUGCUCAGAAAGAAGAUCUUCAGCAGAACCUGAAGACCCUAAGAGGGCCAGUAGUGUGCUGACAUAUUCUCUCCCUGUUAAGACUAGAGAAACUAAAUUUUAAAAAAUGCCACAGUCCCUGCGUCAAUGGCCAGAAUUAGGACCUCCAAAAUUUCUAAGCAUAAUGAAAAAUGCCAUCUUUAAAAGAGACAGAAAGAGAUUGGAAAGCUCUAGAAAUGUAAAUUGUGGUUCUGCUUUGAUUUGCCUUUUAAUUUUUAAACAGAAAAUUCUUAGAUAUGGAGAUAAAAUUAAAAGGCUGUCACACAGUUCUUAUCAGACUUGUCCCAUGAGAAGACAAGGAACGGCCAAACAAUGUUCUGUUUUUCAGAAACAAAGUUCUAGCUAAUAAAAUAUAACCCUUUCUCCAGUUUCAA
Non-coding RNA from Anas platyrhynchos (mallard), 1450 nucleotides. NCBI's taxonomy places the organism in Eukaryota, Metazoa, Chordata, Aves, Anseriformes, Anatidae. The record is from RefSeq and is a predicted model, not a curated record.